AUGGCAUUGUUGGACUGGAUUGAGUUGUCUGAUGACGAGGAGGUGGCAGUCAAAGAAAGACUUCCUCCAGAAAAAGUCAAAGAAGAAUUUCCUCCAAUAGAAGUCAAAGAAGAAUUUCCUCCCACAAUAGUGAAAGAAGAACUGGAUACUCAUGUACAUGGGACAGCUCAGUUGGAAGUAGAAAUUGUUGAUUUAACCACAGAAGAAGCUGACGUUGAAGAGGAUAGGAAUGCUCACGGGAAAGGGGACGCUGCUCAGGGGGCAACAACAUCACAUAGACAACAGUUUGUUGCACCUCAUGGACAAGGCGAGGCAGCUCAGACAGUGGUACCAAGACAAGAGUUUCUUGCUGCUGCUAAUGGUGUGGAAGAGUUUCUUGUAACAGGUAAUGUUGUGCAAGAGGCUAUGCAGUCUGGAAAUCAGGAUUUUGCUGCAGCUGUUGAUUGCACAGAAGAGGCCACGCAUUCUGAAAAUGCAGAUGAAGCUGGCCCAUCAUUAUUUACAGAACAAGGUGCUGCGGCAGGCGAUUGCGGUGAAGAGGCUAUGCAGUCUGGAAAUCAGGAUUUUGCUGCAGCAGUUGAUUGUGCAGAAGAGGUCAUGCAUUCUGAAAAUGCAGCUGAAGCUGUCCCAUCGUCGUUUACAGAGCAAGGUGCUGCGGCAGGCGAUUGCGAUGAAGAGGCUAUGCAGCCUGGAAAUCAGGAUUUUGCUGCAGCAGUUGAUUGUGCAGAAGAGGCCAUGCAGUCUGAAAAUGCAGCUGAAGCUGUCCCCUCGUCGUUUACAGGGCAAGGUGUUGCGGCAGGCGAUUGCAGUGAAGAAGCUAUGCAGCCUGGAAAUCAGGAUUUUUCUGCAGCAGUUGAUUGCGCAGAAGAGGCCAUGCAGUCUGAAAAUGCAGCUGAAUCUGGCCCAUCAUCGUUAACAGAACAAGGUGUUGUGGCAGGUUAUUGCAGCGAAGAAGCUAUGCAGUGUGGAAAUCAGGAUUUUGUUGCAGCAGUUGAUUGCACAGAAGAGGCCAUGCAGUCUGAGCAUGCAGCUGAAGCUGGCCCGUUAUUGUUUACUGGACAGGGUGUUGUGGCAGGCGAUUGCGGUGAAGAGGCUAUGCAGUCUGGAAAGCAGGAUUUUGUCGCAGCAGUUGAUUGCGCAGAAGAGGCUAUGCAUUCUGGAAAUGCAGUCGAAGCUGCCCCAUCAUCGUUUAUCGAAGGUGUAGCGGCAGGUGAUUUUGCUGAAGAGGCUAUGCGGUAUAACCAUGAAAACCAAGCUGCUCAAUGCUCGCUAAUGACAGGACAAGCUGCUGCAUCAUCCUUGUCAAUGACAGAACAAGGUGCUACUACAUCUUCACUAAGGACAGUGCAACAGAGUCACAAGAGAGAUGCAUUGCUAGGUUCCCCUCCCAUCUCAACCGCGGCGCCUUUUCCCCGGCAAUUCUGGAAGGCUGGGGAGUACAAGGUUGCUGCCCGAGCUUCCAUCAACAAUGGCCAGAACUGCUUAAGGAUUAAUCCCAAGUUUCUUCACUCGAAUGCUACGUCACACAAGUGGGUAUUUGGUGCUAUUGCAGAACUGCUCGACAACACUGUUGAUGAGGUGCAGAAUGGGGCAACCUAUGUGAAAAUAGAUAAAAUGAAAUAUUCUCCUGUCGGAGAGUAUUCAUUAAUGGUACAAGAUGAUGGAGGCGGUAUGAGUCCUGAGCAUCUUCGACAUUGUUUGAGCUUCGGAUUCUCCAAUAAAUGCACGAAUUCAUCAAUUGGACAAUAUGGAAAUGGCUUCAAAACCAGCACAAUGAGGCUUGGGGCAGAUGCUAUCAUAUUCAGCUGCAGAAAAGCUAAUAGAUUGACACGAAGUGUUGGGCUGCUCUCUUACACAUUCCUCAAAGGAACCGGCUGCAAUGACAUAUUAGUGCCUGUGGUUGACUAUGAAUUUGAUCCUUCAUCCCGCAAUUUCAAGAGGAUAAUGGACCGUGGUGAAAAACAUUUUUCUUCCAAUUUGUCCACUCUUCUGAGGUGGUCUCAAUUUUCUACAGAAGAUGAUUUAUUGAAUCAAUUUGAGGACAUGGGAUGCCAUGGCACAAAAAUUGUUGUAUCCAAAUUAUGGCUCAAUGAUGCGGAUGAAAUGGAGCUUGACUUUACAACUGAUGAUGAGGAUAUUAUGAUGUCAGGAGCGCCUAAGAUACCAGAAGAACGCGCGAAAGUGAAAAGGUUGAAUCAUAUGCAUAUUGCAAAUCGCUUCCGAUAUUCACUUCGUGUUUAUGCAUCUAUACUAUACCUUCGUCUACCAGAACACUUUAAAGUCAUCUUGUGUGGACGAACUGUUGAACCUCACCAUAUUAUAAAGGACCUCAUAUACUGUGAAUGUAUCAAAUAUCGACCACAAGUUGGAAUAAGCGUACAGGUUGAUGUCAUUACUUCAAUUGGCUUCUUAAAAGGUGCUCCAAACCUGGAUAUCUAUGGAUUUAAUGUCUACCAUAGGAACCGUCUUAUUCUGCCAUUUUGGGCUGCAGGCUCUGAAAGAGGUCGAGGCAGAGGCAUUGCUGGGGUUUUGGAGGCGAACUUUAUACGACCUACACAUGAUAAGCAAGAUUUUGAGAAGACGGAACUUUUUCAGAGACUUGAGAUGAGAUUAAAAGACAUGGCAAUGGAGUAUUGGAAGCACCAUGCUCAUUUGGUUGGCUACCGGCCACUCACAAAAUCUCUUCGUCCAGCAUAUUAUGCAUCUAUUGCUGCUACCAAUGAUAAUAGCUCAGUAGCCCAAGCUACAGCAACACCUUAUGCCAGGAACUCAAGAGCCAAAGCAUCUGGAGUAUUGAACUCCCGUUUCAAUGGAGGUAACUCAUUAAAUCCUUUGCACAUUGGUGCCUUGAGGGCUCAAAUGGACUAUGGUGCAUGUCCUUUAGCAAGGAAAAAUAUGAGGACUUCAUUAUAUAUGCCAAGCACACCGCAGCAAACUGAACUGUGCAAAAGAAGAAACUCUGGCUCGAUGAUUGAAACGAGGGCCCAGAAAAGGCACAACACAAAUGGCGAUGCUGACCACUUUGGAAGUGUCAAUGUUGUUGAGAUAGGAGAGGAAAGGAGCAGUCUCUUAAUUUGUCAGAACAUGAUGCUAAAGGCCGAGUGUUCCGAGCUCGAGGCGGCAGGACAGAUUCUCCGAAGCAAGGCGGACAGGUUGAUGGGUGAACUCCGCGAGUGGCAACGAAAGGGGAGGAGCCUGACGGACGAGUUGGAGUUCUACCACGGCCUCAGCGCGAUACAGCGCAGGAUGCCCAUCACCAGCACCUCUUCCCUGGGAGUGGGAUGGAUCUGA
RNAcentral lists this ribosomal RNA (3291 nucleotides) under Triticum aestivum (bread wheat). RNAcentral describes it as "partial small subunit ribosomal RNA". Lineage: Eukaryota; Viridiplantae; Streptophyta; Magnoliopsida; Poales; Poaceae. The record is from RNAcentral.